This 76-nucleotide transfer RNA is filed under the name Desulfurellales bacterium. Its description in RNAcentral is "tRNA-Met". It matches the Rfam family "tRNA". From Rfam's summary of the family: Transfer RNA (tRNA) molecules are approximately 80 nucleotides in length. Their secondary structure includes four short double-helical elements and three loops (D, anti-codon, and T loops). The record is from RNAcentral. Lineage: Bacteria; Pseudomonadati; Campylobacterota; Desulfurellia; Desulfurellales.
GGGCGCGUAGCUCAGCGGUAAGAGCGGCUGGCUCAUAACCAGAGGGUCGCGGGUUCAAAUCCCGCCACGCCCACCA